This 415-nucleotide ribosomal RNA is filed under the name uncultured microorganism. Its description in RNAcentral is "bacterial SSU rRNA". It matches the Rfam family "Bacterial small subunit ribosomal RNA", at positions 9 to 420 of the family's 1533-position model. The record is from RNAcentral.
GAGUUUGAUCUUGGCUCAGAUUGAACGCUGGCGGCAUGCCUUACACAUGCAAGUCGAACGGCAGCAUGAUCUAGCUUGCUAGAUUGAUGGCGAGUGGCGAACGGGUGAGUAAUACAUCGGAACGUGCCCUGUAGUGGGGGAUAACUAGUCGAAAGAUUAGCUAAUACCGCAUACGACCUGAGGGUGAAAGUGGGGGACCGCAAGGCCUCAUGCUAUAGGAGCGGCCGAUGUCUGAUUAGCUAGUUGGUGGGGUAAAGGCCCACCAAGGCGACGAUCAGUAGCUGGUCUGAGAGGACGAUCAGCCACACUGGGACAGAGACACGGCCCAGACUCCUACGGGAGGCAGCAGUGGGGAAUUUUGGACAAUGGGCGAAAGCCUGAUCCAGCAAUGCCGCGUGUGUGAAGAAGGCCUCGG